Macrosteles quadrilineatus (aster leafhopper) is the source of this 303-nucleotide long non-coding RNA. RefSeq lists it as uncharacterized. The transcript is spliced from 3 exons. Lineage: Eukaryota; Metazoa; Arthropoda; Insecta; Hemiptera; Cicadellidae. The record is from RefSeq and is a predicted model, not a curated record.
UUUGGUUGUGGUGUUUGUGAUGUAUUUUUGGUUUAAAUUAUUGGGAAUUUAAUUUGUAAUUAUAAUAAUUUGAUUGUGUAUUAAGUUUGUGUGUUGCAUGAUUUGAUCUGAUAGCUGAUUUAUUUGUGAGCUCCUGUGUUCAAUGUGUGUGUCGUAAUGAAUUGUUUGCGUUGGUGGCAGAAAAAGAUGCAAGACCCCCACGAAUUUAAGAUUGGAUAUAUCGAUGUGAAACCCGCGAGCAUGCUUUCCGUAAGUAAUCGAAUGUUUAAUGGAAAAUUCCAAUAGAUUGAUAUUCCAGACGAA